This 233-nucleotide unclassified non-coding RNA is filed under the name uncultured fungus. RNAcentral's name for it is "partial contains 18S rRNA, ITS1 and 5.8S rRNA". Lineage: Eukaryota; Fungi. The record is from RNAcentral.
AGGUGAACCUGCGGAAGGAUCAUUACCGAGUGAGGGUCUCUCAGGCCCGACCUCCCACCCUGUGUUUUCGUGACCUUGUUGCUUUGGCGGGCCCGCCUCGACGAGAGGCCGCCGGAAGCUCACCGCUUUGGGCCCGUGCCCGCCAGUAGCCCCCUUAAAUUCUUAAUAAACCUGUCGUCUGAGUCCAUGGAUAUAAUGAAAAAAACUUUCAACAACGGAUCUCUUGGUUCUGG